RNAcentral lists this ribosomal RNA (521 nucleotides) under uncultured bacterium. Its description in RNAcentral is "bacterial SSU rRNA". It matches the Rfam family "Bacterial small subunit ribosomal RNA", at positions 988 to 1509 of the family's 1533-position model. The record is from RNAcentral.
CCAGAGAACUUAGCAGAGAUGCUUUGGUGCCUUCGGGAACUCUGAGACAGGUGCUGCAUGGCUGUCGUCAGCUCGUGUUGUGAAAUGUUGGGUUAAGUCCCGCAACGAGCGCAACCCUUAUCCUUUGUUGCCAGCGGCUCGGCCGGGAACUCAAAGGAGACUGCCGGUGAUAAACCGGAGGAAGGUGGGGAUGACGUCAAGUCAUCAUGGCCCUUACGGCCAGGGCUACACACGUGCUACAAUGACGCAUACAAAGAGAAGCGACCUCGCGAGAGCAAGCGGACCUCACAAAGUGCGUCGUAGUCCGGAUUGGAGUCUGCAACUCGACUCCAUGAAGUCGGAAUCGCUAGUAAUCGUAGAUCAGAAUGCUACGGUGAAUACGUUCCCGGGCCUUGUACACACCGCCCGUCACACCAUGGGAGUGGGUUGCAAAAGAAGUAGGUAGCUUAACCUUCGGGAGGGCGCUUACCACUUUGUGAUUCAUGACUGGGGUGAAGUCGUAACAAGGUAAGCGUAGCGAG